GGUCCCAUGGUGUAAUGGUUAGCACUCUGGACUUUGAAUCCAUCGAUCCGAGUUCAAAUGUCGGUGGGACCU
Molecule: transfer RNA, 72 nt
Filed under: Nematostella vectensis (starlet sea anemone)
Lineage: Eukaryota; Metazoa; Cnidaria; Anthozoa; Actiniaria; Edwardsiidae
Rfam family: tRNA
About the family: Transfer RNA (tRNA) molecules are approximately 80 nucleotides in length. Their secondary structure includes four short double-helical elements and three loops (D, anti-codon, and T loops).
Source: Rfam by way of RNAcentral